Molecule: transfer RNA, 72 nt
Filed under: Bos taurus (domestic cattle)
Lineage: Eukaryota; Metazoa; Chordata; Mammalia; Artiodactyla; Bovidae
Also listed under: 3 other names
Rfam family: tRNA
About the family: Transfer RNA (tRNA) molecules are approximately 80 nucleotides in length. Their secondary structure includes four short double-helical elements and three loops (D, anti-codon, and T loops). Further hydrogen bonds mediate the characteristic L-shaped molecular structure. tRNAs have two regions of fundamental functional importance: the anti-codon, which is responsible for specific mRNA codon recognition, and the 3' end, to which the tRNAs corresponding amino acid is attached (by aminoacyl-tRNA synthetases). tRNAs cope with the degeneracy of the genetic code in two manners: having more than one tRNA (with a specific anti-codon) for a particular amino acid; and 'wobble' base-pairing, i.e. permitting non-standard base-pairing at the 3rd anti-codon position.
Source: Rfam by way of RNAcentral
UCCCUGGUGGCUUAGAUGGUAGAGAGUCUGCCUGCAUUGUGGAAGACCUAGGUUCGAUUCCUGGGUGGGGAA